UCCCUGGUGGUCCAGUUGGCGAAGACUCUACACUCCCAAUGCAGGGACCUGGGUUCCAUCCCUGGUCAGGGAA
RNAcentral lists this transfer RNA (73 nucleotides) under Ovis aries (sheep). It matches the Rfam family "tRNA". From Rfam's summary of the family: Transfer RNA (tRNA) molecules are approximately 80 nucleotides in length. Their secondary structure includes four short double-helical elements and three loops (D, anti-codon, and T loops). The record is from Rfam by way of RNAcentral. Lineage: Eukaryota; Metazoa; Chordata; Mammalia; Artiodactyla; Bovidae.